AAAUCAAUGUAUAGGAGGUCCUACCUGCCCAGUGACUAAAUUAAACGGCCGCGGUAUUUUGACCGUGCAAAGGUAGCGCAAUCACUUGUUUUUUAAAUAAAGACCUGUAUGAAUGGUGAAACGAGGGCUUAACUGUCUCCUUUUUCUGAUCAGUGAAAUUGAUCUACCCGUGCAGAAGCGGGUAUAAAAAUACAAGACGAGAAGACCCUAUGGAGCUUAAGACAGAAAAUCAACUAUGUUAAAAACCCCAAUUAAGGGAACAAAACAAAACAGCAACUGAUUAGCGUCUUCGGUUGGGGCGACUACGGGGGAAAACCAAUCCCCCACGUGGAAUAGAACACAAUUCUAAAACCAUGAGGUACACCUCUAAGUCACAGAACUUCUGACCAAAUGAUCCGGCAACCAGCCGAUCAACGAACCAAGUUACCCUAGGGAUAACAGCGCAAUCCCCUCCAAGAGUCCAUAUCGACAAGGGGGUUUACGACCUCGAUGUUGGAUCAGGACAUCCUAAUGGUGCAGCCGCUAUUAAGGGUUCGUUUGUUCAACGAUUAAAGU
RNAcentral lists this ribosomal RNA (555 nucleotides) under Oligosarcus brevioris. RNAcentral describes it as "partial 16S ribosomal RNA". It matches the Rfam family "Bacterial large subunit ribosomal RNA", at positions 1835 to 2594 of the family's 2925-position model. Lineage: Eukaryota; Metazoa; Chordata; Actinopteri; Characiformes; Acestrorhamphidae. The record is from RNAcentral.